This is a small nucleolar RNA of Echinops telfairi (small Madagascar hedgehog), 120 nucleotides long. The record is from Ensembl. Lineage: Eukaryota; Metazoa; Chordata; Mammalia; Afrosoricida; Tenrecidae.
ACUCCCUGGAUUCCUUACCCAUCUGACCUAAACACUGGUCUGGGUGGUUAUAAAAAGAGGAUGAUCAAAUUGAAACUGACUUAAGUUCUGUUGUGGCUCACAAGCUCGUUUCAAACAAGC